Molecule: ribosomal RNA, 253 nt
Filed under: uncultured bacterium
Lineage: Bacteria
Description: partial 16S ribosomal RNA
Rfam family: Bacterial small subunit ribosomal RNA
Source: RNAcentral
UACGUGGGGGGCAAGCGUUGUCCGGAUUUAUUGGGCGUAAAGAGCGUGUAGGCGGUCAGGUAGGUCCGUUGUGAAAACUCGAGGCUCAACCUCGAGACGCCGAUGGAAACCAUCUGACUAGAGUCCGGAAGAGGAGAGUGGAAUUCCUGGUGUAGCGGUGGAAUGCGCAGAUAUCAGGAGGAACACCAAUGGCGAAGGCAGAUCUCUGGGACGGUACUGACGCUGAGACGCGAAAGCGUGGGGAGCAAACAGG